UACGUAGGUGGCGAGCGUUGUCCGGAAUUAUUGGGCGUAAAGGGCAUGUAGGCGGCUUAAUAAGUCGAGCGUGAAAAUGCGGGGCUCAACCCCGUAUGGCGCUGGAAACUGUUAGGCUUGAGUGCAGGAGAGGAAGGGGGAAUUCCCAGUGUAGCGGUGAAAUGCGUAGAUAUUGGGAGGAACACCAGUGGCGAAGGCGCCUUUCUGGACUGUGUCUGACGCUGAGAUGCGAAAGCCAGGGUAGCGAACGGG
This 252-nucleotide ribosomal RNA is filed under the name uncultured Phascolarctobacterium sp. RNAcentral describes it as "partial 16S ribosomal RNA". It matches the Rfam family "Bacterial small subunit ribosomal RNA", at positions 524 to 776 of the family's 1533-position model. Lineage: Bacteria; Bacillati; Bacillota; Negativicutes; Acidaminococcales; Acidaminococcaceae. The record is from RNAcentral.